Molecule: long non-coding RNA, 676 nt
Organism: Cucumis sativus (cucumber)
Lineage: Eukaryota; Viridiplantae; Streptophyta; Magnoliopsida; Cucurbitales; Cucurbitaceae
Exons: 3
Source: RefSeq, a predicted model, not a curated record
GUGGUUUUCUAAAAGUAUGGCAGUUGCAGAAUGCAUCCUUCAAAGCACCUGCUAGAAAGCAUUUCCUGGAAGGAUUUGGUGGGUCUUCUUGAUAAAAGACCCCCAUAUUGGAGAAGCAAGAUUUUCUGGUGUAAAGACAAAGAUAGAAGAGAGCACAAGACACUCCAACUAAUGAUGUUGAACUGCACUAGAGAUUCCCAGCACAAAGCUCACACUUAGAAAAUUGAUUGCCGUACUUGUGGCACUUCCAUUAUUAAAGCUCAUGUGAGGAGAAGAGUACGAAAAACAAACAGCUGAUCUUCAAAAGUUUGGUCUCAAUCUGGUAUGAUGUCCACAUACCAAGUUCGCUCGUUUUAAAUGAAGAAGUUAAUUAGUCUGUUUCUUUUCAUAAAUGCUCUAUUUAGUACUUAGGGUCGUUUCGCUUUUAAAUCAGUUCCACCUGAUCGUAUUGAUGAAAAACGAACUGAAAAUUGAUGAUAUCCAGACUGUUACUAUCAAGAGAGAGGAGGGGGAAAAAAAUACACACACACACACCGAGAUUAACCAUUAAUUUUUCCCAAAUCGAACUAUUAGAUGUUUUCCCGAAUUGUAUCUGCAGUUUUUUCCAUCAUUGGAUUGUAAACAACGUUAGUGGUAGAUGGUGCGCAAUAAAGUUGAGACUCACUUUUUGAGAAAA